Molecule: ribosomal RNA, 406 nt
Filed under: uncultured bacterium
Lineage: Bacteria
Description: partial 16S ribosomal RNA
Rfam family: Bacterial small subunit ribosomal RNA
Source: RNAcentral
AUUGAACGCUGGCGGCAGGCUUAACACAUGCAAGUCGAACGAGUGGCGGACGGGUGAGUAAUGCUUGGGAAUCUAGCUUAUGGAGGGGGAUAACUACGGGAAACUGUAGCUAAUACCGCGUACCAUAGGAUGAGCCCAAGUGGGAUUAGGUAGUUGGUGCGGUAAAGGCUACCCAAGCCGACGAUCUAUAGCUGGUCUGAGAGGAUGAUCACCCACAUUGGGACUUAGACACGGCCCAGACUCCUACGGGGGGCAUCAGGUGUGAAUAUUGCACAAUGGGCGCAAGCCUGAUGCAGCCAUGCCGCGUGUAUGAAGAAGGCCUUAGUGUUGUAAAGUACUUUCAGCGGGGAGGCGUUACCCGCAGAAGAAGCACCGGCUAACUCCGUGCCAGCAGCCGCGGUAAUUC